AUUGAACGCUGGCGGCAGGCCUAACACAUGCAAGUCGAGCGGAUGAAGGGAGCUUGCUCCUGGAUUCAGCGGCGGACGGGUGAGUAAUGCCUAGGAAUCUGCCUGGUAGUGGGGGAUAACGUCCGGAAACGGGCGCUAAUACCGCAUACGUCCUGAGGGAGAAAGUGGGGGAUCUUGGGACCCAAGGCUAUCGGAGGAGCCUAGGUCGGAUUAGCUAGUUGGUGGGGUAAAGGCCUACCAAGGCGACGAUCCGUAACUGGUCUGAGAGGAUGAUCAGUCACACUGGAACUGAGACACGGUCCAGACUCCUACGGGAGGCAGCAGUGGGGAAUAUUGGACAAUGGGCGAAAGCCUGAUCCAGCCAUGCCGCGUGUGUGAAGAAGGUCUUCGGAUUGUAAAGCACUUUAAGUUGGGAGGAAGGGCAGUAAGUUAAUACCUUGCUGUUUUGACGUUACCAACAGAAUAAGCACCGGCUAACUUCGUG
RNAcentral lists this ribosomal RNA (484 nucleotides) under uncultured bacterium. RNAcentral's name for it is "partial 16S ribosomal RNA". It matches the Rfam family "Bacterial small subunit ribosomal RNA", at positions 30 to 507 of the family's 1533-position model. The record is from RNAcentral.